Molecule: unclassified non-coding RNA, 643 nt
Filed under: Hevea brasiliensis (rubber tree)
Lineage: Eukaryota; Viridiplantae; Streptophyta; Magnoliopsida; Malpighiales; Euphorbiaceae
Source: RNAcentral
UAGUUUAUUUUCUAUUGUUUUUUAAAUUGAUCGACAUAUAGGAUAAUGAUAAAGUCAUUUUAUGUAUCCAUUUUAGAGUAGUUUUACAUCUAUUUUACACUUUAAAUAAAUUUAGUAGUUUAAUGUUUUUAACCUUUGUUUUAGUUAAAUUGUUGAUUUUAUUUCUUUAAUAAUUAAUUUAUGAAUUUUUUAUGUUUUCAAUAGGUUUAAUGUGAUUUAAAGAGUAAAGGUUCAUUUGGAGGUGAUUCUUGGUGAAUUGGAAGCCAAAAGAUGUGAAAAAGCAAAAGAAAUUAAGUUCAAGGAGAAGAGAAACAAAAAUUUGCAUAAGCUCCAGCACUAGGCAUGUUGAGGGUCAUGCAGCAUUCAGCACAAAGCAUGAUAGAAAACAUUGAAUUAAGUAUUAGGCAUGUUGAAUGAUGCUGAAAAUGCUGCUGAUUUGAAAAAAUUUAACACCUCACAUCUUUUAUAUCUUUUGUCUUUAUCUCCUUUUAGUUUAUUAUAGGGCAAACUUUUGAACACACAUAUAUGCAUAUACAUUUUUUUUUUCUCAUUUUAAGCCACUAGAAAUAACUAGGAAAAGAAGAGAAUGAGGAGAAAAGAAAGAACAAUGAGAAAAAGAAGAAAUAGAUUAAGAAGAGGGAAG